UGUAAACCAAAUUGUAUGUGGCUUGAAGCGAAAUCCCAGGGCUGAAGCUGGAAUACGGUAGGGGCAGAGAGAAUUUUUGAUAGAGCGGUGAAAUGCAUCGAGAUAGAAAAGAACACCAAUGGCAAAAACACUCUACUGGACCGACACUGACACCAAGAUGAAAGGGGAGCGAAUGGAUUAGAGAGCCCAAUAGUUAAGACAACAAUUAUGGCUCUGUAGAUGCAGUAUUCCAUCACUAAACAAAGACAGAGGGA
This 254-nucleotide non-coding RNA is filed under the name Triticum aestivum (bread wheat). RNAcentral's name for it is "Bacterial small subunit ribosomal RNA". It matches the Rfam family "Bacterial small subunit ribosomal RNA", at positions 559 to 854 of the family's 1533-position model. The record is from Rfam by way of RNAcentral. Lineage: Eukaryota; Viridiplantae; Streptophyta; Magnoliopsida; Poales; Poaceae.